Chlorocebus sabaeus (green monkey) is the source of this 104-nucleotide small nuclear RNA. NCBI's taxonomy places the organism in Eukaryota, Metazoa, Chordata, Mammalia, Primates, Cercopithecidae. The record is from Ensembl.
GUGCUCGCUUCAGCAGCACAUAAACUAAAAUUGGAGCAGCACAGAGAUUAGCAUGGUCCCUGUGCAAGGAGGACACGCAAAUUCGUGAAAUGUUCUAAAAUUUU